GCGGCAGGCCUAACACAUGCAAGUCGAACGCUGUAACAAUACAGAGUGGCAGACGGGUGAGUAACGCGUGGGAACGUGCCUUUCGGUUCGGAAUAACUCAGGGAAACUUGAGCUAAUACCGGAUACGCCCUUCGGGGGAAAGAUUUAUUGCCGAAAGAUCGGCCCGCGUCCGAUUAGCUAGUUGGUGAGGUAACGGCCCACCAGGGCGACGAUCGGUAGCUGGUCUGAGAGGAUGAUCAGCCACACUGGGACUGAGACACGGCCCAGACUCCUACGGGAGGCAGCAGUGGGGAAUAUUGGACAAUGGGCGCAAGCCUGAUCCAGCCAUGCCGCGUGAGUGAUGAAGGCCCUAGGGUUGUAAAGCUCUUUCGCCAGGGACGAUAAUGACGGUACCUGGAUAAGAAGCCCCGGCUAACUUCGUGCCA
This 425-nucleotide ribosomal RNA is filed under the name uncultured Methylosinus sp. RNAcentral's name for it is "bacterial SSU rRNA". It matches the Rfam family "Bacterial small subunit ribosomal RNA", at positions 39 to 510 of the family's 1533-position model. The record is from RNAcentral. Lineage: Bacteria; Pseudomonadati; Pseudomonadota; Alphaproteobacteria; Hyphomicrobiales; Methylocystaceae.